This 27-nucleotide non-coding RNA is filed under the name Cricetulus griseus (Chinese hamster). The record is from RNAcentral. Lineage: Eukaryota; Metazoa; Chordata; Mammalia; Rodentia; Cricetidae.
AAGGGAACAUAAAAUUCAAACUAACAG